GCUCGCAGACCGCCAGCCAAUGAGAAGCUGCCAAGUGGCAGCUUCUCAUUAGCUGGCGGUCCAGGAGCCGUGAAUGACGCACAGCCGGCGCCAGGUUCAAAGUGCCGUCUCUCCCCCCCUCCGCCGCUGCCACAGCCGCCAGAGUGUGACUGAGCCGCGGGUUGUAACGCCCGAUCCCACCCCCCCACCCCCCGCAGCCGCCGGAGUUAACUGUUAACUGACGCUGAGCAGCGGCCAGUAAUGCCCAUGCCCACUCCCCAUCUCCCUGCCAGCGCAGCAGCUUAAAUUCCACCCUACCCCUAAGCUUAGUGACCCGCGGCCUGUAAUGCCCUCCCCACCUCCACCGGAGCACUGUCUGCAAGUGAAUGAUGGUCCGAGGCCCUAUCCUAACCGUGGCACACCCCUGGGCGUCUGGCAGGAGAGUCAACUCGCCCUCCACAUGAAGACCUCCAGACAAGUACAAGUUAGCGUCUCCGGAAUCCUGAGCUACAGACAAGUACAAGUUAGCGUCUCCGGAAUCCUCAGCUACAGGCAUCUUCUGAUCUCAAACAUGAAUAGUGAAUUUUGACUGAAGACAAUGUUUACCCAGUGAGGAUCAACUUAAGAUGUUCCCUAUUACAGAGAUGCCAUUAUAUAGAAAACAGUAUUGAAGAAACAGUAUAUAGAGAAAUAUAUAACCAAAGCAGAGAGUCCCGGGGACAGACAACCCGGGGAGUAGAAGAAGCAGAUGAGAGGAAAAGAAAAGAAUAGUAAAAAGUAGAAGAGAAAAGACAGAAGUGAAAAGAGAGAAGGUCAAAGAUCAUAUUGUAUCAUUUGAUGAAACAAAAUCUCUGGAAAAACCUAGAACAGUCAAGGAGAAAUAAGCAUCCAGGAGCCCAGUGAGAAACAAAUUAAGCUAAGGCAGAGCACGUCAUAGCAUAUACCAGGAGGUGUUUUCAAAGACAUGCAUUAUAGAAUCUGAUUGUGAUUUUGGCAAAAAAUCUAAAUAAA
Pseudophryne corroboree (corroboree frog) is the source of this 990-nucleotide long non-coding RNA. RefSeq lists it as uncharacterized. Lineage: Eukaryota; Metazoa; Chordata; Amphibia; Anura; Myobatrachidae. The record is from RefSeq and is a predicted model, not a curated record. The transcript is spliced from 5 exons.